GACGAACGCUGGCGGCGUGCUUAACACAUGCAAGUCGUACGGUAAGGCCCUUUCGGGGGUACACGAGUGGCGAACGGGUGAGUAACACGUGAGUAACCUGCCCACAACUUUGGGAUAACGCUAGGAAACUGGUGCUAAUACUGGAUAUGUGCUCCUGCUGCAUGGUGGGGGGUGGAAGGCUCCGGCGGUUGUGGGUGGACUCGCGGCCUAUCAGCUUGUUGGUGGGGUAGUGGCCUACCAAGGCGGCGACGGGUAGCCGGCCUGAGAGGGUGACCGGCCACAUUGGGACUGAGAUACGGCCCAGACUCCUACGGGAGGCAGCAGUGGGGAAUAUUGCACAAUGGGCGCGAGCCUGAUGCAGCAACGCCGCGUGCGGGAUGACGGCCUUCGGGUUGUAAACCGCUUUCAGCAGGGACGAAGCUUUUUGUGACGGUACCUGCAGAAGAAGCACCGGCUAACUACGUG
RNAcentral lists this ribosomal RNA (465 nucleotides) under uncultured bacterium. RNAcentral describes it as "partial 16S ribosomal RNA". It matches the Rfam family "Bacterial small subunit ribosomal RNA", at positions 28 to 507 of the family's 1533-position model. The record is from RNAcentral.